Molecule: ribosomal RNA, 1000 nt
Filed under: Lacticaseibacillus rhamnosus
Lineage: Bacteria; Bacillati; Bacillota; Bacilli; Lactobacillales; Lactobacillaceae
Description: bacterial SSU rRNA
Rfam family: Bacterial small subunit ribosomal RNA
Source: RNAcentral
CGGGGGGGUGCCUAUACAUGCAGUCGAACGAGUUCUGAUUAUUGAAAGGUGCUUGCAUCUUGAUUUAAUUUUGAACGAGUGGCGGACGGGUGAGUAACACGUGGGUAACCUGCCCUUAAGUGGGGGAUAACAUUUGGAAACAGAUGCUAAUACCGCAUAAAUCCAAGAACCGCAUGGUUCUUGGCUGAAAGAUGGCGUAAGCUAUCGCUUUUGGAUGGACCCGCGGCGUAUUAGCUAGUUGGUGAGGUAACGGCUCACCAAGGCAAUGAUACGUAGCCGAACUGAGAGGUUGAUCGGCCACAUUGGGACUGAGACACGGCCCAAACUCCUACGGGAGGCAGCAGUAGGGAAUCUUCCACAAUGGACGCAAGUCUGAUGGAGCAACGCCGCGUGAGUGAAGAAGGCUUUCGGGUCGUAAAACUCUGUUGUUGGAGAAGAAUGGUCGGCAGAGUAACUGUUGUCGGCGUGACGGUAUCCAACCAGAAAGCCACGGCUAACUACGUGCCAGCAGCCGCGGUAAUACGUAGGUGGCAAGCGUUAUCCGGAUUUAUUGGGCGUAAAGCGAGCGCAGGCGGUUUUUUAAGUCUGAUGUGAAAGCCCUCGGCUUAACCGAGGAAGUGCAUCGGAAACUGGAAAACUUGAGUGCAGAAGAGGACAGUGGAACUCCAUGUGUAGCGGUGAAAUGCGUAGAUAUAUGGAAGAACACCAGUGGCGAAGGCGGCUGUCUGGUCUGUAACUGACGCUGAGGCUCGAAAGCAUGGGUAGCGAACAGGAUUAGAUACCCUGGUAGUCCAUGCCGUAAACGAUGAAUGCUAGGUGUUUGGAGGGUUUCCGCCCUUCAGUGCCGCAGCUAACGCAUUAAGCAUUCCGCCUGGGGAGUACGACCGCAAGGUUGAAACUCAAAGGAAUUGACGGGGGCCCGCACAAGCGGUGGAGCAUGUGGUUUAAUUCGAAGCAACGCGAAGAACCUUACCAGGUCUUGACAUCUUUUGAUCACCUG